This 387-nucleotide ribosomal RNA is filed under the name Escherichia coli. RNAcentral describes it as "partial 23S ribosomal RNA". It matches the Rfam family "Bacterial large subunit ribosomal RNA", at positions 1 to 427 of the family's 2925-position model. The record is from RNAcentral. Lineage: Bacteria; Pseudomonadati; Pseudomonadota; Gammaproteobacteria; Enterobacterales; Enterobacteriaceae.
GGUUAAGCGACUAAGCGUACACGGUGGAUGCCCUGGCAGUCAGAGGCGAUGAAGGACGUGCUAAUCUGCGAUAAGCGUCGGUGAGGUGAUAUGAACCGUUAUAACCGGCGAUUUCCGAAUGGGGAAACCCAGUGUGUUUCGACACACUAUCAUUAACUGAAUCCAUAGGUUAAUGAGGCGAACCGGGGGAACUGAAACAUCUAAGUACCCCGAGGAAAAGAAAUCAACCGAGAUUCCCCCAGUAGCGGCGAGCGAACGGGGAGGAGCCCAGAGCCUGAAUCAGUGUGUGUGUUAGUGGAAGCGUCUGGAAAGGCGCGCGAUACAGGGUGACAGCCCCGUACACAAAAAUGCACAUACUGUGAGCUCGAUGAGUAGGGCGGGACACGU